Molecule: ribosomal RNA, 254 nt
Filed under: uncultured bacterium
Lineage: Bacteria
Description: partial 16S ribosomal RNA
Rfam family: Bacterial small subunit ribosomal RNA
Source: RNAcentral
UACGAGGGGGGCAAGCGUUGUUCGGAAUUAUUGGGCGUAAAGGGUGCGUAGGCGGUUUGGUAAGUCUUAUGUGAAAUCUACAGGCUCAACUUGUAGUCUGCAUGAGAAACUGCCGGGCUUGAGUAUGGGAGAGGUGAGUGGAAUUCCUGGUGUAGCGGUGAAAUGCGUAGAUAUCAGGAGGAACACCGAUGGCGAAGGCAGGUCUCUGGGCCACUACUGACGCUGAGAAGCGAAAGCAUGGGGGAGCGAACAGG